ACAAUGGGGAAUUUGCCAAAUGGGGCAAGCCUGAUGCAGCCAUGCCGCGGUAUGAAGAAGCCUUCGGGUUGUAAAGUACUUUCAGCAGUGAGGAAGGUGGGUAUGUUAAUAGCAUACACAUUUGACGUUAGCUGCAGAAGAAGCACCGGCUAAUUCCGUGCCAGCAGCCGCGGUAAUACGGAGGGUGCGAGCGUUAAUCGGAAUUACUGGGCGUAAAGCGCAUGCAGGUGGUUUGUUAAGUCAGAUGUGAAAGCCCGGGGCUCAACCUCGGAAUUGCAUUUGAAACUGGCAAACUAGAGUACUGUAGAGGGGGGUAGAAUUUCAGGUGUAGCGGUGAAAUGCGUAGAGAUCUGAAGGAAUACCGGUGGCGAAGGCGGCCCCCUGGACAGAUACUGACACUCAGAUGCGAAAGCGUGGGGAGCAAACAGGAUUAGAUACCCUGGUAGUCCACGCCGUAAACGAUGUCUACUUGGAGGUUGUGACCUUGAGCCGUGGCUUUCGGAGCUAACGCGUUAAGUAGACCGCCUGGGGAGUACGGUCGCAAGAUUAAAACUCAAAUGAAUUGACGGGGGCCCGCACAAGCGGUGGAGCAUGUGGUUUAAUUCGAUGCAACGCGAAGAACCUUACCUACUCUUGACAUCUACAGAAGCCAGCGGAGACGCAGGUGUGCCUUCGGGAACUGUAAGACAGGUGCUGCAUGGCUGUCGUCAGCUCGUGUUGUGAAAUGUUGGGUUAAGUCCCGCAACGAGCGCAACCCUUAUCCUUGUUUGCCAGCACUUCGGGUGGGAACUCCAGGGAGACUGCCGGUGAUAAACCGGAGGAAGGUGGGGACGACGUCAAGUCAUCAUGGCCCUUACGAGUAGGGCUACACACGUGCUACAAUGGCGCAUACAGAGGGCGGCCAACUUGCGAAAGUGAGCGAAUCCCAAAAAGUGCGUCGUAGUCCGGAUUGGAGUCUGCGACUCGACUCCAUGAAGUCGGAAUCGCUAGUAAUCGUGGAUCAGAAUGCCACGGUGAAUACGUUCCCGGGCCUUGUACACACCGCCCGUCACACCAUGGGAGUGGGCUGCAAAAGAAGUGGGUAGUUUAACCUUCGGGAGGACGCUCACCACUUUGUGGUUCAUGACUGGGGUGAAGUCGUAACAAGGUAACCG
Molecule: ribosomal RNA, 1154 nt
Filed under: uncultured bacterium
Lineage: Bacteria
Description: bacterial SSU rRNA
Rfam family: Bacterial small subunit ribosomal RNA
Source: RNAcentral